CGAACGCUGGCGGCGUGCUUAACACAUGCAAGUCGAACGGUGACCCUGGAGCUUGCUCCGGGCGAUCAGUGGCGAACGGGUGAGUAACACUUGAGUAACCUGCCCCAGACUCUGGGAUAACCUCGGGAAACCGGGGCUAAUACCGGAUACGAGACGCUCCUGCAUGGGAAGCGUCUGGAAAGAUUUAUCGGUCUGGGAUGGACUCGCGGCCUAUCAGCUUGUUGGUGAGGUAACGGCUCACCAAGGCGACGACGGGUAGCCGGCCUGAGAGGGCGACCGGCCACACUGGAACUGAGACACGGUCCAGACUCCUACGGGAGGCAGCAGUGGGGAAUAUUGCACAAUGGGCGCAAGCCUGAUGCAGCGACGCCGCGUGGGGGAUGAAGGCCUUCGGGUUGUAAACCCCUUUCAGUAGGGAAGAAGCGAAAGUGACGGUACCUACAGAAGAAGCGCCGGCUAACUACGUGCCAGCAGCCGCGGUAAUACGUAGGGCGCAAGCGUUGUCCGGAAUUAUUGGGCGUAAAGAGCUCGUAGGCGGUCUGUCGCGUCUGCUGUGAAAACCCGAGGCUCAACCUCGGGCCUGCAGUGGGUACGGGCAGACUAGAGUGUGGUAGGGGAGACUGGAAUUCCUGGUGUAGCGGUGGAAUGCGCAGAUAUCAGGAGGAACACCAAUGGCGAAGGCAGGUCUCUGGGCCACAACUGACGCUGAGGAGCGAAAGCGUGGGGAGCGAACAGGAUUAGAUACCCUGUUAGUCCACGCCGUAAACGGUGGGCACUAGAUGUGGGGCUCUUUCCAUGAGUUCCGCGUCGCAGCUAACGCAUUAAGUGCCCCGCCUGGGGGAGUACGGCCGCAAGGCUAAAA
This 862-nucleotide ribosomal RNA is filed under the name uncultured bacterium. RNAcentral describes it as "bacterial SSU rRNA". It matches the Rfam family "Bacterial small subunit ribosomal RNA", at positions 30 to 899 of the family's 1533-position model. The record is from RNAcentral.